CCAGCCCUCACCUUUCUCCCAUGCUGGGUGCUUCCUGCCCUCGAAUAUCAGACUGCAAGUUCUUCAGCUUUUGGACUCUUGGACUAACACCACUGGUUUGCCAGGGGCUCUCGAGCCUUCAGCCACGGCUGAAGGCUGCACUGUCAGCUUCCCUACUUUUGAGGUAUGGACUCAGACUGAUCCACUACCGGCUUCCUUGCUCCUCAACAUGCAGAUGGUCUAUCAUGGGACUUUACUUCGUGAUCAUGUGUGGUUUCCUGCCUAUCUUCUAAGGGUAGGAAAGAUGACAUUAGAGAAAGGGGAAAAAAGUUCCACUUAUGGACAACUCAUUCCAUCUUCAAUGAUGAAGACAGACUUUGGGGAAAAAGAGAAAAUCACUUGGAACCACUCAAAAGAAUCCAUUGCUUUUAUAAGUUGAAUUAUAAUAAAUAAGCUUUCCAAAGAAAACUAGA
Molecule: long non-coding RNA, 452 nt
Filed under: Homo sapiens (human)
Lineage: Eukaryota; Metazoa; Chordata; Mammalia; Primates; Hominidae
Description: HSALNT0070757
Source: RNAcentral